RNAcentral lists this long non-coding RNA (241 nucleotides) under Lathyrus oleraceus (garden pea). Its description in RNAcentral is "Pisum sativum (pea) long non-coding RNA (PSAT_LNC008902)". The record is from RNAcentral. Lineage: Eukaryota; Viridiplantae; Streptophyta; Magnoliopsida; Fabales; Fabaceae.
CAAAAAAGAACGAAAAAACAAACCCAGCCGCCUGGCUGUUGGGUUUUAGAGGUUGGUGAGUUGGGAAUAGUAAAAAAAAGAAUCAUUGGUAAAUACCAACAUUAAUGUCCACUGGGAACACUAAAUGGUCAUUUAAAGGGAUUUAAAUGGUCUGUCUUAUAAUGUUUAAAUAAAAGAGCAAAAGAUAGUAAUAAUAAUAAUGAAAAAAAGAAAAACGCAGAAUCUCAAAUCUCAAACCCAG